Molecule: ribosomal RNA, 446 nt
Filed under: uncultured bacterium
Lineage: Bacteria
Description: partial 16S ribosomal RNA
Rfam family: Bacterial small subunit ribosomal RNA
Source: RNAcentral
AACGAACGCUGGCGGCAGGCUUAACACAUGCAGUCGAACGCCCCGCAAGGGGAGUGGCAGACGGGUGAGUAACACGUGGGGAUCUGCCCAAUGGUACGGAAUAGCUCCGGGAAACUGGAAUUAAUACCGUAUGUGCCCUUCGGGGGAAAGAUUUAUCGCCAUUGGAUGAACCCGCGCCGGAUUAGCUAGUUGGUGAGGUAAAGGCCCACCAAGGCGACGAUCCGUAGCUGGUUUGAGAGGAUGAUCAGCCACACUGGGACUGAGACACGGCCCAGACUCCUACGGGAGGCAGCAGUGGGGAAUCUUAGACAAUGGGCGCAAGCCUGAUCUAGCCAUGCCGCGUGAGCGAUGAAGGCCUUAGGGUUGUAAAGCUCUUUCAGUGGGGAAGAUAAUGACGGUACCCACAGAAGAAGCCCCGGCUAACUCCGUGCCAGCAGCCGCUGUAA